This 76-nucleotide transfer RNA is filed under the name Candidatus Shapirobacteria bacterium CG_4_8_14_3_um_filter_39_11. Its description in RNAcentral is "tRNA-Ala". It matches the Rfam family "tRNA". Rfam says of the family: Transfer RNA (tRNA) molecules are approximately 80 nucleotides in length. Lineage: Bacteria; Candidatus Shapironibacteriota. RNAcentral also lists the same sequence under 1 other name. The record is from RNAcentral.
GGGCCGUUGGCUCAGCUGGUAGAGCGUCCCGAUGGCAUCGGGGAGGUCAGGAGUUCGAUUCUCCUACGGUCCACCA